Molecule: ribosomal RNA, 735 nt
Filed under: uncultured Fusobacterium sp.
Lineage: Bacteria; Fusobacteriati; Fusobacteriota; Fusobacteriia; Fusobacteriales; Fusobacteriaceae
Description: bacterial SSU rRNA
Rfam family: Bacterial small subunit ribosomal RNA
Source: RNAcentral
GAUGAACGCUGACAGAAUGCUUAACACAUGCAAGUCAACUUGAAUUUGGGUUUUUAACUUAGAUUUGGGUGGCGGACGGGUGAGUAACGCGUAAAGAACUUGCCUCACAGCUAGGGACAACAUUUAGAAAUGAAUGCUAAUACCUGAUAUUAUGAUUUUAAGGCAUCUUAGAAUUAUGAAAGCUAUAAGCACUGUGAGAGAGCUUUGCGUCCCAUUAGCUAGUUGGAGAGGUAACAGCUCACCAAGGCGAUGAUGGGUAGCCGGCCUGAGAGGGUGAGCGGCCACAAGGGGACUGAGACACGGCCCUUACUCCUACGGGAGGCAGCAGUGGGGAAUAUUGGACAAUGGACCGAGAGUCUGAUCCAGCAAUUCUGUGUGCACGAUGAAGUUUUUCGGAAUGUAAAGUGCUUUCAGUUGGGAAGAAAAAAAUGACGGUACCAACAGAAGAAGUGACGGCUAAAUACGUGCCAGCAGCCGCGGUAAUACGUAUGUCACGAGCGUUAUCCGGAUUUAUUGGGCGUAAAGCGCGUCUAGGUGGUUAUAUAAGUCUGAUGUGAAAAUGCAGGGCUCAACUCUGUAUUGCGUUGGAAACUGUAUAACUAGAGUACUGGAGAGGUAAGCGGAACUACAAGUGUAGAGGUGAAAUUCGUAGAUAUUUGUAGGAAUGCCGAUGGGGAAGCCAGCUUACUGGACAGAUGCUGACGCUAAAGCGCGAAAGCGUGGGUAGCAAACAGG